RNAcentral lists this ribosomal RNA (791 nucleotides) under uncultured crenarchaeote. RNAcentral describes it as "bacterial SSU rRNA". It matches the Rfam family "Archaeal small subunit ribosomal RNA", at positions 84 to 876 of the family's 1478-position model. Lineage: Archaea; Thermoproteati; Thermoproteota. The record is from RNAcentral.
UACGGCUCAGUAACACGUAGUCAAUCUAACCUAUGGACGGGGAUAACCUCGGGAAACUGAGAAUAAUCCGCGAUAGAUCAUAAUUCCUGGAACGGUUUAUGGUCGAAAUGAUUCGUCGCCAUAGGAUGGGACUGCGGCCUAUCAGCUUGUUGGUGAGGUAAUGGCUCACCAAGGCUAUUACAGGUACGGGCUCUGAGAGGAGAAGCCCGGAGAUGGGUACUGAGACACGGACCCAGGCCCUAUGGGGCGCAGCAGGCGAGAAACCUUUGCAAUGUGCGCAAGCACGACAAGGUUAAUCCGAGUGUUUCCUGCUAAAGGAAUCUUUUGUUAGUUCUAAAACCACUGAUGAAUAAGAGGUGGGCAAGUUCUGGUGUCAGCCACCGCGGUAAAACCAGCACCUCAAGUGGUCAGGAGGAUUAUUGGGCCUAAAGCAUCCGUAGCCGGUUCUGUAAGUUUUCGGUUAAAUCCACUAGCUUAACUAAUGGGCUGCCGAAAAUACUGCAGAACUAGGGAGUGGGAGAGGUAGACGGUACUCGGUAGGAAGGGGUAAAAUCCUUUGAUCUAUUGAUGACCACCUGUGGCGAAGGCGGUCUACCAGAACACGUUCGACGGUGAGGGAUGAAAGCUGGGGGAGCAAACCGGAUUAGAUACCCGGGUAGUCCCAGCUGUAAACGAUGCAGACUCGGUGAUGCACUGGCUUGUGGCCAGUGCAGUGCCGCAGGGAAGCCGUUAAGUUUGCCGCCUGGGAAGUACGUACGCAAGUAUGAAACUUAAAGGAAUUGGCGGGGGAG